Long non-coding RNA from Octopus sinensis (East Asian common octopus), 323 nucleotides. RefSeq lists it as uncharacterized. The record is from RefSeq and is a predicted model, not a curated record. The transcript has 3 exons. NCBI's taxonomy places the organism in Eukaryota, Metazoa, Mollusca, Cephalopoda, Octopoda, Octopodidae.
UGAGAGGAAGAAAGUUGUUCUCAGAUUACAGGCCUGGUUCAAAUACUUGCCUCAGAGUGGGCUCGGUUAAAGGUACUGGUAGUUGGCAACUGAUUGCCUAGCAGCCAAGAAAAUAAAGGUUGAUUCCCUCGACUGUUCACUGUCCCUUACACAAAUUGGUAUUCUGCCCAAAUCAGAAUAAACUGACAUCCAUUUAUUUCAGAAAGGAAUGUGUUAGCCCAGAAAAUAUUUCAGUUCUGAAUAGCUGCUGAGUCUCAACAAGAUCAACCAAUAAAAAUGAGCUAAUCCUGAGGAGAUGAACAGGUAUAUAAACCCCUGGCAAG